This 202-nucleotide long non-coding RNA is filed under the name Elaeis guineensis (African oil palm). RNAcentral describes it as "long non-coding RNA (EGUI_LNC040864)". The record is from RNAcentral. Lineage: Eukaryota; Viridiplantae; Streptophyta; Magnoliopsida; Arecales; Arecaceae.
AUGAGUCACUGUAUUUCAAUUUAGCAAAACCUUGGCCAGGGUAAUCCAUCAGAUGGAUUUGAUAUUUUGAAAUACAAUGUGAACAACCUGAUCAGAGUUAAUAGUUGAACUCUGGAGUGUCCUAUGAUCAUUUUGGUCAAGGGGAUGAAUUAUAUGAAAACUAUAUCCAUAUGGGUUCUAAGGAUGUUGUUCUACACAUUCG